RNAcentral lists this ribosomal RNA (250 nucleotides) under uncultured bacterium. Its description in RNAcentral is "partial 16S ribosomal RNA". It matches the Rfam family "Bacterial small subunit ribosomal RNA", at positions 803 to 1058 of the family's 1533-position model. The record is from RNAcentral.
UAAACGAUGGGCACUAGGUGUGGGGAGGAAUUCUCUCCGUGCCGCAGCUAACGCAUUAAGUGCCCCGCCUGGGGAGUACGGCCGCAAGGCUAAAACUCAAAGGAAUUGACGGGGGCCCGCACAAGCAGCGGAGCAUGUGGAUUAAUUCGAAGCAACGCGAAGAACCUUACCAGGGCUUGACAUAUAGGUGAGCCUGUAGAAAUACAGGGGCCGAAAGGAGCCUAUACAGGUGGUGCAUGGCUGUCGUCAG